CAGCAGCCACGGUAAUACGGAGGAUCCAAGCGUUAUCCGGAUCCAUUGGGUUUAAAGGGUGCGUAGGCGGCCUAUUAAGUCAGGGGUGAAAGACGGUAGCUCAACUAUCGCAGUGCCUUUGAUACUGAUAGGCUUGAAUGUACUUGAAGUGGGCGGAAUGUGACAAGUAGCGGUGAAAUGCAUAGAUAUGUCACAGAACACCGAUUGCGAAGGCAGCUCACUAAAGUAUGAUUGACGCUGAGGCACGAAAGCGUGGGGAUCAAACAGGAUUAGAUACCCCUGUAGUCCCUGUCUCUUAUAC
This 301-nucleotide ribosomal RNA is filed under the name uncultured bacterium. RNAcentral describes it as "partial 16S ribosomal RNA". It matches the Rfam family "Bacterial small subunit ribosomal RNA", at positions 509 to 807 of the family's 1533-position model. The record is from RNAcentral.